RNAcentral lists this ribosomal RNA (449 nucleotides) under uncultured Methanolinea sp. RNAcentral's name for it is "bacterial SSU rRNA". It matches the Rfam family "Archaeal small subunit ribosomal RNA", at positions 890 to 1338 of the family's 1478-position model. The record is from RNAcentral. Lineage: Archaea; Methanobacteriati; Methanobacteriota; Methanomicrobia; Methanomicrobiales; Methanoregulaceae.
GGAGCCUGCGGUUUAAUUGGACUCAACGCCGGGCAGCUCACCGGAUAAGACAGCUGGAUGAUAGCCGGGCUGAAGACUCUGCUUGACUAGCUGAGAGGAGGUGCAUGGCCGUCGUCAGUUCGUACUGUGAAGCAUCCUGUUAAGUCAGGCAACGAGCGAGACCCACGCCAACAGUUGCCAGCAUGUCCUCCGGGAUGAUGGGGACACUGUUGGGACCGCCUCUGCUAAAGAGGAGGAAGGAAUGGGCAACGGUAGGUCAGCAUGCCCCGAAUUAUCCGGGCUACACGCGGGCUACAAUGGUCAGGACAAUGGGUAUCGACACCGAGAGGUGGAGGCAAUCUCCUAAACCUGUCCUUAGUUCGGAUUGUGGGCUGCAACUCGCCCACAUGAAGCUGGAAUCCGUAGUAAUCGCGUUUCAAAAUAGCGCGGUGAAUAUGUCCCUGCUCCUU